GUGAGGGGAGAGAGUUAGUUGCAAGAGAAGGAGAGGAGAAAGCAUGGCUGAGAGUGAGACCAAACCGAGUUACCGAAUAACCAAACUGAAAAGCCGAUAACUCAAUUUGUUUUUCAAUUAAAAACCAAUGAAUGUUCAAACCUAAACAUGCAUAAGUAGUAUUGAGUUGACAUAACAUGGUCCAAUUCCAUAAUGCACUAAAUCUUGC
Molecule: unclassified non-coding RNA, 208 nt
Filed under: Hevea brasiliensis (rubber tree)
Lineage: Eukaryota; Viridiplantae; Streptophyta; Magnoliopsida; Malpighiales; Euphorbiaceae
Source: RNAcentral